CAUAAGUUCUCCGGAAGAAAGGCCGUAACUGGCCGCCGAGAGAGAAGCCUGCGUCCUAUCAGCUUGUUGGUGAGGUAAUGGCCCACCAAGGCGAUGACGGGUAGGGGGCGUGAGAGCGUGAUCCCCCACAAGGUAACUGAGACACGGUGCCUACGUCUACGGACGGCAGCAACUAGGAAUAUUCGGCAAUGGGCGAAAGCCUGACCGAGCGACGCCGCGUGCGGGAUGAAGGCCUUCGGGUUGUAAACCGCUGUGGAGAGGGAAAAUUAUGAUUGUACCUCUCUAGAAAGCACCUGCUAACUACGUGCCAGAAGCCUCGGUGAAACGUAGGGUGCAAGCAUUAUCCGGAUUUAUUGGGCGUAAAGAGUAUCGUAGGCGGUUUUGUAAGUGAUUGGUGAAAGCCUCUGGCUCAACCAGAGAACUGCCGGUCAUACUGCAAGACUAGAGUGAUUUCGGGAAGGCUGGAAUUCUCGGUGUAGGGGUGAAAUCCGUUGAUAUCGAGAAGAACACCAAGGGCGAAGGCAGGCCUUUAGAAAUCUACUGACGCUGAUGAACGAAAGCUUGGGGAGCAAAAGGGAUUAGAGACCCCUGUAGUCCAAGCCGUAAACGAUGUUCACUAGAUGGCCCCCGCUUUGCGGGGACUGUCGCAAGCUAACGCGUUAAGUGGGCCGCCUGGGGAGUACGGCCGCAAGGCUAAAACUCAAAGGAAUUGACGGGGAAAUGCACAACCAGGGGAGCAUGUGGUUUAAUUCGAUACAAAGCGAUGAACCUUACCUGGGCUUGACAUCUA
This 790-nucleotide ribosomal RNA is filed under the name uncultured bacterium. RNAcentral's name for it is "bacterial SSU rRNA". It matches the Rfam family "Bacterial small subunit ribosomal RNA", at positions 172 to 990 of the family's 1533-position model. The record is from RNAcentral.